CAGUGUUUAUGUGGUAUUAUCCCACUUGCCACAAAUGUCAGUGUAAUGGGGAAACAGCGCCCCCCCCUCUCGGUGUGGCUGGUUAGGGGAGGCUGGCUGCAGUAAUCGCUGCCAGUCUGCCGUAGCCAUACGAGAGUGUGCUGUGCGGAGUGGUGUGUGGCGAGCCUGUGCACUGAUAAAGAACACCAUUGUUUCCAUUCAGGAAAUAAAGUGGCAUCGAUCAGAGACUCCUUGUUUUCUUAAAACACAACACAACGCAGAGUCGAGGAGUCUGUUUGGGCCGAACUGUUGCAGCAGGAUGAAGCAGAAACCGGUUACACUGGUGCCGUGACCCCAGCUCCUGCAUUCCUGCGACCGCAACGGUGCUGUCUACUUCCUGGAAGGUGGAAAAGUCGCGGGAGACUGGCUUUUCUUAGUCCCGCCAUUUUCUGCGUUCUUUAGAGACAUC
Molecule: long non-coding RNA, 448 nt
Organism: Oreochromis niloticus (Nile tilapia)
Lineage: Eukaryota; Metazoa; Chordata; Actinopteri; Cichliformes; Cichlidae
Exons: 3
Source: RefSeq, a predicted model, not a curated record